This 934-nucleotide ribosomal RNA is filed under the name Misumena vatia. Its description in RNAcentral is "SSU rRNA". It matches the Rfam family "Eukaryotic small subunit ribosomal RNA", at positions 34 to 965 of the family's 1831-position model. The record is from RNAcentral. Lineage: Eukaryota; Metazoa; Arthropoda; Arachnida; Araneae; Thomisidae.
CNCNGNNAGAUAAGCCANGCANGUCUAAGUACAUGCCGGUAUUAAGGCGAAACCGCGAAUGGCUCAUUAAAUCAGUUAUGGUUCCUUGGAUCGUACCUUACUACUUGGAUAACUGUGGCAAUUCUAGAGCUAAUACAUGCAGCAGAGCUCCGACCUUCGGGGACGAGCGCUUUUAUUAGACCAAAACCAAUCGGACCUCGUGUCCGUACUUUGUGGUGACUCUGUAUAACUUUGGGCUGAUCGCACGGGCCCGUCCCGGCGACGUAUCUUUCAAGUGUCUGCCUUAUCAACUUUCGAUGGUAGGUUACGCGCCUACCAUGGUCGUAACGGGUAACGGGGAAUCAGGGUUCGAUUCCGGAGAGGGAGCCUGAGAAACGGCUACCACAUCCAAGGAAGGCAGCAGGCGCGCAAAUUACCCACUCCCAGAACGGGGAGGUAGUGACGAAAAAUAACAAUACGGGACUCUUUUGAGACCCCGUAAUUGGAAUGAGUACACUCUAAAUCCUUUAACGAGGAUCCAUUGGAGGGCAAGUCUGGUGCCAGCAGCUGCGGUAAUUCCAGCUCCAAUAGCGUAUAUUAAAGUUGUUGCGGUUAAAAAGCUCGUAGUUGGAUCUCAGUUCCAGACGGGUGGUCCGCCUACCGGUGGUUACUGCCUGUUCUGAACAGCCAGCCGGUUUCUCUUGAUGAUCUUCACCGGUUGUCUUGGGUGACCGGCAAGUUUACUUUGAAAAAAUUAGAGUGCUCAAAGCAGGCGUGACGCCUGAAUAAUGGUGCAUGGAAUAAUGGAAUAGGACCUCGGUUCUAUUUUGUUGGUUUUCGGAACACGAGGUAAUGAUUAAGAGGGACAGACGGGGGCAUUCGUAUUGCGACGCUAGAGGUGAAAUUCUUGGACCGUCGCAAGACGAACUACUGCAANGCUUUUUUNCCCAAGAAA